This 1035-nucleotide long non-coding RNA is filed under the name Ananas comosus (pineapple). RNAcentral describes it as "long non-coding RNA (ACOM_LNC020410)". The record is from RNAcentral. Lineage: Eukaryota; Viridiplantae; Streptophyta; Magnoliopsida; Poales; Bromeliaceae.
AAAGCAGAAAAAAGAAGAAGAAAAGAAAAUAAAGAAAAAAGGUUGGAAUAAAUUUGUAAGAUGACCAAUAUAAAAAAUAUAAAAAUAAUAGUUUAAAUUUUUAGAGAUAAAUAAUUAUUUUAUAUAAUUUAACAUAGUGUAAGAGUAAGAGAUUUUGAGUUUGAGUCUUAUCAGAUUUAUUAUAUUAUUAAAUUUUUUUAUUUAAUUAAGUCGACAUUUUGAGGUUUUUCUGAGUUCACACAUGAAAGUGAGUGUUAAAAUAAAAAUAAGUUUCGAGUUUAGGCGUGAGAAAAGUGUUGAUUGUAAAAAUAUAAAAACAUCAUUUUUUAAUAACUUAAGCAUUUGGAGAUAAUAGAUUAUUUCAUAUAAUUAAUGAAAUAGUAGGUUUAUUAAUUUAGUUUGACUAGUGAGUCAACAAGAUUUUAUUUAAUUAGACAGCGCGAUAAGCCCUAUGAUGAAUUGUACGUCUAAAUCUUAAAAUUUCAUUCCAAUACGAAAGCUUAUAUUUGAAUCUUAAAUUCGUACUGAAGGCCAAAUUAGAGAACUUUUAACACGGAAGAAUUAAUGAGGUGUGCCUUACGUUUUCCUUCCUCAUUAAUUGGGUAUUAAUAAUACUUAAAAAAAAUUAAAAAGAAUGUGGGGCAUAUUCCAUGCAUGUGACGUGACAAUUAAGCAUCUAAAAUCAAAGAUGACAAUUUUAUAACACCUAAUACUUAAUUAUAACAUCCGAGAUCUCGGUGUUUGCAGGGUGUGUUAUAUUAAUUAGUCAAAUGCAGAAGACAAAAAAAUCGUAUAUCCAUGCUUGAAUUGCGAUAAGCUUGCAUAACAAUUGCAUUAAACUUGUUAGUUAGAACAUUAAUGUCUCGUGUAGUUAAAAAAACUUAAGCUUAUCGUUUGUGUAAAAUGAAGGAAAUAGCAAAAAUAAUAAUUUUAUCAUAUCAAAGACUCACACUGCCCAUCGAGAACGAUCCUCACUCAUACAACACAAUCAAUUUUCUUGUCUUUUUUUUUUUUUUUUUUUUUUUUUUUUUUUUU